AUGUCUCCGCUUAGAGAGGAGGAAAUAAAACGGAAAUAUGUCCGCGGCCAACCUUUGGUCGAGCCCGAGGAGGUCAAGAACCUCCCAACGAGAAUGUAUGAAUUGCAUGAUUGGUACAUGAAAAUUACCAAGAGUUCCAAUCGAGAGUUCCUCAUGGUGAAGGUCAAGGAAGAGCAUUACUUCCAUAAGCUAGCUCUGUCUGUUGAGUAUUCAGAACUAUUUCAGUUAUUCAAUCAAGAUGCACUCGACAAAUCUCUCGUCAGUUGCUAUUGUUUGAUGAAAAUGUAUGAAAUGGAAAAAGUUGGACGCUAUGGCAUUGGGUUCAUUGACCCAAUACCAUUAAUGAAAAGACAUGGACAUAUGAAUAUUAUAAACAAGAUGUAG
Molecule: ribosomal RNA, 384 nt
Filed under: Triticum aestivum (bread wheat)
Lineage: Eukaryota; Viridiplantae; Streptophyta; Magnoliopsida; Poales; Poaceae
Description: partial small subunit ribosomal RNA
Source: RNAcentral